Non-coding RNA from Cricetulus griseus (Chinese hamster), 72 nucleotides. The record is from Rfam. Lineage: Eukaryota; Metazoa; Chordata; Mammalia; Rodentia; Cricetidae.
GGAGGUAUAGCUCAGGGAUAGAGCAUUAGACAGCAGAUCAAGAGGUCCCUAGCUCAAAUCCAGGUUCCCCCU